UAAGAAACAUCGGCCUAAACACUGGCCCUAACACCCUGCUCCUCAUUGGCAUACUCCUCCUCAACAGUUAUAUCUUCUUUGUCAAGCAAAACAUCGUCCUUCACAUCCUUGAAUGGGUCAAAAAGACCCAAGUCAAGGUCCUUGGUUUAGAACCUGACUUGCCAAACGGCCUUAUGAAAGCCCUUUUCAUGUUGCUCCACGACCUCCUUCUUGAACACCA
Molecule: long non-coding RNA, 220 nt
Filed under: Glycine max (soybean)
Lineage: Eukaryota; Viridiplantae; Streptophyta; Magnoliopsida; Fabales; Fabaceae
Description: long non-coding RNA (GMAX_LNC003463)
Source: RNAcentral